UACAGAGGGGGCGAGCGUUGUUCGGAAUUACUGGGCGUAAAGGGCGCGUAGGCGGCCAACUAAGUCAGACGUGAAAUCCCUCGGCUUAACCGGGGAACUGCGUCUGAUACUGGAUGGCUAGAGGUUGGGAGAGGGAUGCGGAAUUCCAGGUGUAGCGGUGAAAUGCGUAGAGAUCGUAAGGAAGGCCAGUGGCGAAGGCGAGUUCCUGGACAGUUACUGACGCUGAGGCACGAAGGCCAGGGGAGCAAACAGG
RNAcentral lists this ribosomal RNA (253 nucleotides) under uncultured bacterium. RNAcentral's name for it is "partial 16S ribosomal RNA". It matches the Rfam family "Bacterial small subunit ribosomal RNA", at positions 524 to 776 of the family's 1533-position model. The record is from RNAcentral.